CCUACGGGCGGCAGCAGUGGGGAAUAUUGCACAAUGGGGGAAACCCUGAUGCAGCGACGCCGCGUGAGUGAAGAAGUAUUUCGGUAUGUAAAGCUCUAUCAGCAGGGAAGAAAAUGACGGUACCUGACUAAGAAGCCCCGGCUAACUACGUACCAGCAGCCGCGGUAAUACGUAGGGGGCAAGCGUUAUCCGGAUUUACUGGGUGUAAGGGGAGCGUAGACGGCUGCGCAAGUCUGAAGUGAAAGCCCGGGGCUCAACCCCGGGACUGCUUUGGAAACUGUGUAGCUAGAGUGCUGGAGAGGCAAGCGGAAUUCCUAGUGUAGCGGUGAAAUGCGUAGAUAUUAGGAAGAACACCAGUGGCGAAGGCGGCUUGCUGGACAGUAACUGACGUUGAGGCUCGAAAGCGUGGGGAGCAAACAGGAUUAGAUACCCGGGUAGUC
This 440-nucleotide ribosomal RNA is filed under the name uncultured bacterium. RNAcentral describes it as "partial 16S ribosomal RNA". It matches the Rfam family "Bacterial small subunit ribosomal RNA", at positions 338 to 795 of the family's 1533-position model. The record is from RNAcentral.